AUUGAACGCUGGCGGCAGGCCUAACACAUGCAAGUCGAGCGAGUGGCGGACGGGUGAGUAAUGUAUGGGGACUGCCCGAUAGAGGGGGAUAACUACUGGAAACGGUGGCUAAUACCGCAUACUAUCGGAUAACCCAUAUGGGAUUAGCUAGUAGGUGGGGUAAAGGCUCCCCUCGGCGACGAACCCUAGCUGGUCUGAGAGGAUGAUCAGCCACACGGGAACUGAGACACGGCCAAGACUCCGACGGAGGCAGCAGUGGGGAAUAUUGCACAAUGGGCGCAAGCCUGAUGCAGCCAUGCCGCGUGUAUGAAGAAGGCCUUAGGGUUUUAAAGUACUUUCAGCGGGGAGGCGUUACCCGCAGAAGAAGCACCGGCUAAAUCAGGGCCAGCAGCCGCGGUAAUUC
RNAcentral lists this ribosomal RNA (403 nucleotides) under uncultured bacterium. Its description in RNAcentral is "partial 16S ribosomal RNA". It matches the Rfam family "Bacterial small subunit ribosomal RNA", at positions 30 to 526 of the family's 1533-position model. The record is from RNAcentral.